This 549-nucleotide long non-coding RNA is filed under the name Gossypium raimondii (Peruvian cotton). Its description in RNAcentral is "long non-coding RNA (GRAI_LNC009972)". The record is from RNAcentral. Lineage: Eukaryota; Viridiplantae; Streptophyta; Magnoliopsida; Malvales; Malvaceae.
AUAUAAACCCCUUCCGUCCCUUCAACAACCAUCUCUUCUUUUUAUCACUUCACUGCUGGCUUGCGCUUAAUGUCAUAAAUUUUGCAUGAUUUUCUCAACUCCUUAUUCCUUCUUCUCUGUCUAUUCUUUCUCAUGCUCCUGCUCCAGUUCUUGCUCAUGCUUUCUACUGCUCAAGCCUCAAGAGAUUAUUUUCAUGGAGCCGCUGAUACCUUUGUGCCUCCUUGAAACGUCCAAAGAAGAACAUCAGUAUUCUGGCUUCCAUCACAAGUAUAAAAUCAACAGGAGUUUAAGGGUGCUAUCCUUGCUGAGCUUUUUUGGAUUUUCAUUAUUAAUAUUUUUCAUUUAAUUUUUUUCUUGACCUUGCAAGACUUUCUAAUUCUUGUGUUAAGAUUUGUAAGGUUUUUAUUUUUGUUUUGAUUUUUUAUUUUUAUUUUUAUCUUGAUCAAUCCUCCCAUCUUUCUUUUUUGUCUCUAUUCCUCCUGAGCUUUACUGAAAUAAAAAAAAAUUGAAUAUCUCUUUCUAAUGUUGUAUUAUAUAAUUUACUAUUUU